UACGAAGGGUGCAAACGUUGCUCGGAAUCAUUGGGCGUAAAGCGCACGUAGGCGGCUUCGCAAGUCGGAUGUGAAAUCCCUCGGCUCAACCGAGGACGUGCAUCCGAAACUGCGGAGCUUGAGUACUGAAGAGGAUCGCGGAAUUCCCGGUGUAGAGGUGAAAUUCGUAGAUAUCGGGAGGAACACCAGUGGCGAAGGCGG
Molecule: ribosomal RNA, 201 nt
Filed under: uncultured bacterium
Lineage: Bacteria
Description: partial 16S ribosomal RNA
Rfam family: Bacterial small subunit ribosomal RNA
Source: RNAcentral